UACGAAGGGGGCUAGCGUUGCUCGGAAUCACUGAGCGUAAAGGGUGCGUAGGCGGGGCUUUAAGUCAGGGGUGAAAUCCUGGAGCUCAACUCCAGAACUGCCUUUGAUACUGAAGAUCUUGAGUUCGGGAGAGGUGAGUGGAACUGCGAGUGUAGAGGUGAAAUUCGUAGAUAUUCGCAAGAACACCAGUGGCGAAGGCGGCUCACUGGCCCGAUACUGACGCUGAGGCACGAAAGCGUGGGGAGCAAACAGG
This 253-nucleotide ribosomal RNA is filed under the name uncultured bacterium. RNAcentral's name for it is "partial 16S ribosomal RNA". It matches the Rfam family "Bacterial small subunit ribosomal RNA", at positions 524 to 776 of the family's 1533-position model. The record is from RNAcentral.